This 274-nucleotide ribosomal RNA is filed under the name uncultured bacterium. RNAcentral describes it as "partial 16S ribosomal RNA". It matches the Rfam family "Bacterial small subunit ribosomal RNA", at positions 523 to 796 of the family's 1533-position model. The record is from RNAcentral.
AUACGGAGGAUGCAAGCGUUAUUCGGAAUCACUGGGCGUAAAGGACGCGUAGGCGGGUUGGCAAGUCAGAUGUGAAAUCCUACAGCUUAACUGUAGAACUGCAUUUGAAACUGCUAACCUAGAGUAUGGGAGGGGGAGAUGGAAUUAGUGGUGUAGGGGUAAAAUCCGUAGAUAUCACUAGGAAUACCGAAAGCGAAGGCGAUCUCCUGGAACAUAACUGACGCUAAGGCGUGAAAGCGUGGGGAGCAAACAGGAUUAGAUACCCUAGUAGUCC